This 254-nucleotide ribosomal RNA is filed under the name uncultured bacterium. RNAcentral describes it as "partial 16S ribosomal RNA". It matches the Rfam family "Bacterial small subunit ribosomal RNA", at positions 524 to 776 of the family's 1533-position model. The record is from RNAcentral.
UACGGAGGGUGCAAGCGUUAUCCGGAUUCACUGGGUUUAAAGGGUGCGUAGGUGGGCAGGUAAGUCAGUGGUGAAAUCUCUGGGCUUAACCCGGAACUGCCGUUGAUACUAUCUGUCUUGAAUAUAGUGGAGGUGAGCGGAAUAUGUCAUGUAGCGGUGAAAUGCUUAGAUAUGACAUAGAACAUCGAUUGCGAAGGCAGCUCGCUACACUAUGAUUGACAACUGAGGCACGGAAAGCGUGGGGAUCAAACAGG